GCCAGGCAGAAAGAGGACAACAUGCAGUGCAGUGUGUGUGUGUGUGUGUGUGUGUGUGUGUGUGUGUGUGUGUGUGUGUGUGUGUGUGUGUGUGAUCAUUGAGGGGCAGCAGAGAAGGUCAGACAUGUUGGGGGGAUUUAAAUGGGAUUUCUUUUCCUUCAGCCUUAAAAAGGUACAGCGGAGACACAACACUGAAAUUGGGUCAAGGAAAUGGGUGAAGGUGAGUGCACCCCCAACCCACAUACACACACAUACACACACACACACACACACACACACACACUCUGCAUACACUGGGGGUCUGGGGGAAAACCCACAGAGUGCAGAAGAGUUCACCCUGGAAGUAAUUGGGCAUUUAUUUCUAGAAAACCCCUGGAAAAAAAGCAGCAGUUUUUGGAAUCGUGUGACCCUUGGGACUGCCAGAAAACACUCCUUAUUCAAAGAAAUUCAUCUUAAAUAUUUAAUACUUGUCUGAAAUACCUUACAUGAAUUUUUUAAGUACCAUACAUUAGCUCCACAGCCAUUGUUACGCAUUUUCAGAUUGACUUUCUUUCAUACGCGAUGUUGAAUGCAGUGAUGUAAUAAGCAUUUCCCUGUUUCCCGGCCGACAGUAUCCAUGGAUGCAGUUACUCAUGUUUGCAGGGCUUCUCUUUGUGUGUGUGUCUGCAUUGUGAGCUUGAAAAAAGAAGGGGAGAGAGAGGCACAUGUUGAGACUGCAGGAAACAAAUUAUGUGUUCUGGACUAAAUGUACUGUUUAUUUCAUGAGAACAGUGUAGUGAGGACUUAGAGGAUGAGAGGCUGUGAUGGGACCUCCUGACACAGAGUUUGACAUUGUGAGUCCUGCAGCUAAAGCACAAGAGCUUGGUGAGGAAAAAUGGGUCUUUUUUUACUGAAAGCCAUGACAUCAAUAUGGUUAAAAUGUGUAACACUUAAAUUCCACCUCAUCAGUGUUGGAUACAUCUUUGUUCUGCAGUAGAGUAGAUUGGAUCAUAGCUAUUGCGUUUGGGAUCAGUUUUCUCUUGUUAUAUUCUUCUGUUGGACUGAAACCAGUCUAAGCCUUCUUGGCUAGCUUGGGCUUUGUACCUGAAGCUGGAUAGUAUAAAUGUGCUGCUUCUAAGCCAGGAAGAAAACUAAACUAGGGGGACCAUAUUCUGAAUCCCUAAAAAGAGGACACUACUACACGGGGUGGAGUCACGGAGUCACGUGUAGUAAAUUUCGAGAGUUUUUCGGGUCGAGUCGAUUGUCUUUUACGUGCUUCUAACUCAUUUGGUCCAUGCGACACGAACUCAAAACUUCCACUUAAAAAACCUGGAAAUUUGAAGGAUUUUGUAAACUCUCCCAGACAAGGCCGGACAAGCCCGGACAGCCCCCCCCCCAAAAGAAGACAUGUCCGGGUAAAAGGGAUGUAUGGUCACUCUAACUAAACCUAAAAGUAAGACAAAUCUGUCAUAUUGUACAAACAAAAGUACAGGGCUGUGGAAGUGAACAUUCUGCGAGCCACAGGCUGAUGCGUUUUGUUGAUUUUGGUAUGUAACAGGCCAACAGAGAGAAGAUCCAGCAGGAAUUAGCUAAAAACGGGCAUGUCGCCCCCUACUGUAGUGGAGGUAGACAUGCCUCUGUUAUUAAUUUGAUUCUUAUCUGUUGGUUGUAAACUGGGAUAAAGACAGUAUUCUACCUAAAUCACCUAAUUAAACUCGACUCAACUGUGCAUGUUAACGUACGGACCUACGCUUCUGCUCCGUCUCCACUCAGCACUGGCAAUCCAAAGCCAUCUGCUGCUUAUACUAAUGGCUUCUAUUUUUGCUGGAUGCUGGAGCACAACGCCACGACCUGCUCAGGGGAGAUUAAGGAAGACAGGAAGUCAGACACUGAGACAACAUUAAAACAUCUGUUUAAGUUUCAAAAUAGAGCACUCUGUGUUGACGCCAGAUUGUGUUCCUCUUAACUACACCAAUGAAUCUGAUCUGUUAGAAGUAAGUAGUAUGCCUUUUUUGUUACAUAACACUGCUGUAAAAGUCCCACUCCAAUAGUUUUAUACUACUUAAAGUGUUAUCAGUGGUCUUUAAGUUGUGAUUAUGAAGUUUCUAGUUUCUCAAGUGGGUCUUUAAAACAUUUGGGUAUUCAAAAUCAACACAAACAAAAAGUUUCUCAGUGGAGCUUUAAAGUAAUCUCGAUACAUUAGAGCUGUUAUUCUUCUAUAAUGUGCUGAAAAGGAGCAGCCUCAACAAUUUAUACACAGCAAACAAAGUUUUGUGUUUAUGUAGGGCCCUUUGUAUGACAGUAAGUUGUGUGUAUUUGCGUAUGUAUGCUCGUAUGUGUGUAUUACCAUGUAUUUGCUUGCUGUGUGUGUGUGUGUGACAGUGACAAAUGGCAGCGUCCUCCAGUUCAUCAGUGAAGUGGCUGUUGCUUUGUGUGUCUGAUGAUAGCUAACAAUAACUACUACGAGGCUUAAAAUGACUCGUAAUUACAUCGCACAUUUCAUAACAAGGUCCUGAGCUCAAUACUCCGCCAGAUUUGUUUUUAAGUCACGUUAACAUCAUCACAUCAUCACUGCGGUGGCACUGACAAACGACCGAGUGUGCAGAAUACUCAGCAUGGGCGGCCUCAGCACGAGGUCUAAUUCAAUUUAAUCCAAAUUUGUUCUAGCGAGCUGCUCAUUAAGUUGAAGGUUUGUUUGUCUUCAGAAAACAUUAGCUGAAAGUAGAUCUAUACGCUGUAAUUGAACUCCUGUGUAAACUAGGCGAACACAAACUCAUCAUUCAGUGUAAUGACUUUUAUCCUUUUUUCUGAUGGUAAUGGAUAAGAUGAACAGGAGGGGACGCUGGCAUAUAAAGAUAAUUAAUGCCCCCUCAGAAAAUAGUGCAAUGGUCAAAAACUCCUCCUGAAUUGUAUGAGUUCUCAUCUCCACAAGCUCCUGACUCCUCGCCAAACAAAUUAAAUUAGGAACCUGAUAGGAACCUAUUAAAAAGGCAAUCUGGGAGUUUUCGUCUCUCACUGAUGGAUUAGAAGUCAAAGCCAAUUUUAGGUUUCUAAGCUUCAGCAGCAAUGUAAAAUUUACGUGACUGCAAAACGUCAAAAAGCAGAAAGCAUGAGUGCAAAAUGAUGCAUAUCAGGCUUUUUACACUUGGUGAGUGUUGGCUGUGCUGUCAGCCUGAUCUUUCUGCUUAAGUUGCACCCAAAAUAUAACUAUUAACUAUUAUUAUCAAGGGUGACCAUACAUCCUCUUUUACCAGGACAUGUACUCUUUUUUGGGGGCUGUCUGGGUUUAACUGGGAAAGUUUAUAAAAUCCUUUAAAUGUCUGCGGUUUUGUACGUAAGUUUUGAGUCUGUGUCAUGCAGACUUACUAAGUUAAGAAAAAGACACUAGAUCUGACCCGAAAAGCUCUCAAAAUUGACUUUGUGCGACUCCGUGAUUCCAGCCCUAUGUAGUCGUGUCCUCUUUUUCAGAAGUCAGAAUAUGGUCACCCUGUAUUAUCAAAACUCUUUGACUUAAUAAAUGGCAUUAAAGUAGAUUUUUUAAAGGGGAAGGACAUGUUUGCUAUACCUGUUCCUGAAAGUGUUAGAAUAUGUUUAUAUUUCUUUGUUGCUGAUACAAGGUCCAUAAACUGUCUCUGUUUGCUGAGGACUUUAUGUGGCUCAGGGUUCAAUUAGGCUAGCCUUGGUUGGAUUGUAGGGUGACAUAGCUGCAUUGUUACAUUUUUUUAUGGUUUGGUUUGUUUACACUCUUCACUUGGUCCACUUGACCAAACUGUCUGGACAUCAUGCAAUUAUAACAACUGCUUAUUUAAAGAUGAGGAAGUGAAUAACUAAUUUAUUGAGCAUUACAAAAAAUGGUAAUUGACUAUAUUUGAUAUGGUCUAAACAUAGGCAUUUCAUCAGCGUCAUUAGAUUGUAGGGUAAAACCAUAAACAUCGGUACCAUGCAUGUGCAGCUCUUUGACGCCGAACAUUGUUGUGCACUUUGAAUCUGCUUUGCCCCUUCACACAAUUGUUUUGUGCUCUUCGUAACCUUUCCACCCCGAGCCCAACACCUUUACAGAUGUCUCCCAGGGCUAUCCAAUAUUUGACUUUCCUCCUGACAUUGUUAUGUUCACACUCUUGAACCUCUGAAGAGUGAUUCACAGUGAAGCCUCAACCCGAUUACAGUCUGUUCAGUGUUGGCUACCAGGCAGCCCAGAUUUUAUCUGACAAGUAUGGACAACUCUGUCUCUCCCCUGCUGCUGUCUCCUGUCAGCGGGAGCAACAAGCACAAGGCCAGAAGACUUUAGGUUAAAAAAUGACGAUGCGCUUAGAUGCACAUUCAGCUCACGAGCACGCCUCUGAUGACUCUGAGUGUUUUUUCCUUCACGUCUAUCAGCAGAUUGUAUCAGUGCCCACCAAGCAGCAAAUGCAAAUAAACUCUCUUUCUUUCUCUGUGCUAUUGAAGUAAGAAAACACAUACCAUUAGAGAUAUUGAAAAUAUGUUGACACAUCCCCACGCUUAAUUUCCCUUUGUAAUUUAGCAUGCAAUUUGCAACACAAACUAAAGCCAGCAAGGCCCUUAAUCUGUUCCUGUUAGACGUCUCUCUCUCUCUCUCUCUCUCUCUCUCUCUCUCUCUCUCUAUGUCUGCUUGUAUUGAUCUCUGCUGCUCUCUGUGUCCAUUAGUGGCCCAGGAGGCAGACGCUCUGUCUCUCCACAGUGUGUGGGGGUCUGUACGAAGGUUUAUCAGAUACUCAUCAAACACUGCAGACUCACCACAGCAGAAGCCUCAUUUUGGAGAAUGUCACAGUUAUGAUAAACCUUUUCAGAGUCAAUUUUAAAAAAGAGACAAUUUUCGGUUGAUAUUUUGUCAAAGCUGAUAAACUGGAUUAAGAUAUGAUCCAUCUGGAGCGGGAUAAUAUUUCAAUAAUUAUGUCUACAAAAAAAAAAAAAAAAUUGAGUUCAAGAUAUUUAAGAAAAUUGCAGCUGAAUCAAAAAGGGUUGAUUGCAACAGGCUCAUAAAAUUCAUUGAAAUUUUCUGAUUCUUUUUUUCAGAUUCUUAGAAAAAAAUAAAUAAAGAUAAUGAUAAAUUUUAAAACCUAAGUGGACAAAAUCAUUACCAGAGCCUUAUCUAAAGGAAAACAACAUCCAAAUAAUCCCUGGAGUUAUUUAUUUUAAUUAUUUGGGCCAAAAAAAUUACAAUUUCAAAGCACAUUACAUUACAAUUUCAAAAUAUCAUUUCUUUUCUGUUUGGAAAAAUAUUAUCACAAAAGCUUGUGUGUAAUGUGAUCCAUUAAGAAAGAGAUCCAAUGCUUCAAGUAUGACCAACAGUUUAAGGUUUUGUCUGUUUACAACUUUUUUCACAACUUGAGAAGCAAUAAUGAAUGUCCAGCAUCUCCAAACAACAUUGAUUAGUUAAGUGUUAUCUUUGUCUGCAUAUCCUCUUAAAGCUCUUGUGUGAAACUUUUGCUUUGUGUUAAGGGGAACUACUUCAGUACUUGUAUUUUCCAUUUCAAGGCCAGAUAUUUGUGCCCUGUUACACCUCAUCAGUAAUGUGUAACCACGUGACAUAUAGUGGAGUCAAUCGGUUAAAUCUCUGAUCCUCCCUCGCAGGUAGAGGCAGAAUGGAGCAGAAGAAAGUGGCGAUGUGUGGCAGCAGCGUGGGACAAUGUGGUGUGUGUGUGUGUGUGUGUGUGUGUGCGUGUGUGUGUUUAUGUGGCAGUCCUGCUGUGUCUUUACAAGCCACACCUGUACCACUUCUGCAAUGAUGUAAUUCAAUGUGUCAUCACACUCUUGGACACCAAUACUACGCUGUCUGGAUAUGCAGUGUGAAAAUACCAUAGACUGUAUGAUAGAUGACAUAGCACAAGUGACCCGUUUGUGUGUGAAGCAAAGAUUUGAAGCCAGAGGAACGGCUGCCAUAUUGGAAAUCCUGACCUUGUCGCCCCUUUGUCCAACCUCACAAAAGGGGCGAUAGUUUUGGCAAUAGUUACAAUGUGCCCACCUCUCAGUUAAGGGGAUAUUCCAGCGUAAAAUCAUUUUAGUGUCAAACACACCAUAACACAGAGUCAGACACCCCCACGAGAGAUGAAUGUUGCUGACUGCUUGCUUCUCUAGUCAUACCAACUUUAGUAACGACCGCAGGAGAGCAAUAAACAGCGGUCUGAGGAGCCAACCCACACACCUCAACCAAAAAGCCACUCUAUAGCCACAAAUAAUGCUCAGAACAGCACCUAACUUCAUCAACAGUACAUAUAGGGUCCCAGCCACAGCACUAGCCACCACUCAUAUUUUUAGCUUUUCCUAGUUUCCUUAGCAAAGAGACUAAACACAACUCACCUACUCUCUUCCAGCAGCCGCUUGUUUGUAGGAAAACCUAGGACAAGUCUUGAAGUAAUAAUCACCAUAUUAAUCAUUUUGCACUGCAGACGCGGUAGUUCUUCUGCCUUAGCGUCUCGGUCUGAUUGCAUUUCCAUGAAGAAAUGAUCAUAAAUGUUUUUCCUUGAGCUGUGUCACCCGGCUGCAGUCGGUGAUGGACUUGUCCUAAGUUUUCCUACAAACAAGCAGCUGCUGGAAGAGAGUAGGGAAGUUGUGUUAUGUCUCGCUGGAGUAUCCCUUUAAUUGAGAGGCAGGCACACUGUAACUAUUGCCAAAACUUUCACUCCUUUUGUGAGGUUGGACAAAAGUUACGUUGAGUCAAGAUUCUAUCCAGAUCAAACCCGUUUUUGAACCAGGCUUCGAGUAUGUAUAUUUCAGCUCUAAGAAUGGGCUUCUUUUAAAAAGUAUGUACAGUAUGAAUUAAGGUCAGAAUACCUCCAUUACCAAAACCUGGUACUGCAUCUAUGUGUUUUUCAUUUUAAUGCUGACUCUGUAUAGAGAGAUUUAUCACAUGGCAGUGACUUUACACUCAGGCUAUAAAAGUUCAAUACAGUUUAGGCACAUGAGCCCAGUGUAGCAGCUAAUGAAACCCAUUGCUCUUGUUGAUAUACGAAAGUAGAUGGUGGGCUUUUGUUUCAUACUUAUCAGAAAAAGUGUUUCUUUGCAGGAGAUUCCCCAAAGAAAGUCAUUUUUCAUGGGCAAUGCAAUACCCAAAGAGCCAUAGUGUGUACAGAGCCACCAAAACUCAUCAACAGUGUUUCUAUAAGUAAAUCUAUCUUACAAGUGGCUCUCAGCCAGAAACAAGCAGCCCAUCUUAAGUGGACAUGAUGUUUUCCCUUGACCUAGUAUCACCCGUAUCGACCAUCUCACCUAUUUAUCUGAAUGCAUCAGUGGCGUGUCUGAACAAGCGAGCGAGAAGGAGAGUUAGAUACCGCACUUAAAAACACAGCAAAUAUUCAGAGUGGCUACAAGAGGCUCAUUAAAUUUUGAUGCUCUCCUCUCUCUGCAGCUCUUAUCCAAGGUAAUGGAGGCUAAUUAGUGCUCACACAUACACAGCAUCGUUAAUGGGGAGUAACAGAAUCUGUCCUCUUGAUUCAGAUGACUCUCAGUGCUUCCCUUACCGGAGGACAAACAAAAAAUAGUGCUGAAUGCUUAAACUGUGUCCACCAAAGGAAAAUCUCUGCCUGGAAUUAGAGCCAGGAAGUGUGGAUGUUUUCUGCAAGUAAACAGCAUAUAAACAUGUUCCUUUAAGGCCUCUUUGCACUGCAGUAAUAUUUUUUUAAUUCACUUUAAGGCUCUGAGGAGUUUUACCUGAGCUUAAAAGCAGGAGUAUAGCUCUAACUUCUGAUUCUGACUCUCCAAAAAGUCUGCUCUCCUGAGGUUCAGCUUUCUUUCUUUAAUAUCAACAAAAGGUCAAUUUCACAUGGUGUGACACUCCAGAGUUUUUGACUUAAUGAAAGCAGGCCUUCAAUCUGAGAGUGGCUUCAUAACAGGGCACAGCACGAUAAAUCCAAUCUUUCUACCAGGGUUUACUGCGAACCAAAACUUUUCAUUGAAGCUGUGAUUGUACUCACAACAGACAUCUGUACUGUGGUCAAACAGGGGGAAAUACGUGUUUAUGUGGCUGUUUUUCACCAUUUUGCCCUUCCUCCCUACUUAAUUUAUCAGCAACUGAAACAACAGUGGAGAGUGAAAAACCUGAGGAAAUCUGGUGGGGGUUGCAAUCCCUAGUGGCCCCACGAUACGAUAUUAUCACGAUACUUGGGUCACAAUGCAAUAUUAUUGUGAUUUUUAACGUUUUGCAAUACAGUAAGUAUUGCAAUCCAAUAUAUACAAUUUUUUCAACUGUUAAGCUAAUUUAGCAUUUGUCUUUACUUUAUAUUCAUCUUAAUGCUGUAUUUUAUUUUCAUGUAGCACUUCUUGCAAACCUUAUAUUUUGUUGUACUAACUUUUUCCUGCUCUAUGAUGUCACCUCUGCCAACCUCACUGGACAAACAGUUGAUUUUAUUUUCCAUUAUCGUAGAUUUGACUUCCUUUUAGCAAUUAAUUUAAAAAAUAGCUACUUGGUAAAUGAGACAAUAUGAUAUAUCACCAGACAAAAUAUCACAAUACUAUGCUGUAUUGACUUUUUCUCCCACCCCUAGAAUCUGGGCAAUGUAAGUGUAGAUAAAUUGAGUUACUAUUAAGAACAUACAUCUUAAAUUCUAUACUCUUACUGUUACGUAAGGACAGAAUAAGGUGUCCAGUUAUCAGAAAUGGAGACCUGAACGCGCCCAGUUAAGUCUCAUCACUACUGAUAAAUGGACACCACAGAGGGCAUUAUCCCUCAUAUACCACUGUCACUUAUAAAAGAAAAUAACUAAUCAGACCAGUGAUUUAUAUUGUCAUACAUUUUGUGUUAAACCUAGAAGAUGCUGAACAAGCAAGAACUCAGUAUUCUUCACAACAUAACAAUUAAUCAUUACAAUCCCAUAAGGUGCUUAUGUAAUAAAAAUGUAGUUCAGCAUUCCAGUAAAUAGGACGGGACAUACAUACAACAUACAGAAAUAAACUAGUUAUCUCAGCUGACUACACCCUGCUGUCAGCCAGAGAGCGAGGCUAGCAUGAAGUCAAUGACAUUGUGCACGUUGGACAAACAGUUGGCCUAAAUGUAGUUGGCCAGCCAUAUCACUGUUUCCAAAUCAAUAACAAAUGUUAUAAAGACAGUGACUGAAGUUACAUUGCAGAGUUAAAGCUCAGACAGACAGAGAAACAGGGUUGAGGUGGCUAAAUACACCUAAACUUAGUUUUUAAUGUUUUUCAAAUCAAACAAAAGACUCACCUUUUCACUAGAAAAUCAUUGUUAAACAUUGGACAGUUCAGCCAAACCACUUUGUCUCACUGUAAACCUGAGUACAGGCUGUUUCCUACAGCUGGUGGGUUUGGAGGGUGUCCUCCUGUGAUGCUCAGAGGAUAUCACACUGGUAGACAAAUAAAAUAUUCAGAGUUUUUAUGCUGCGUUCGAGUUACCUAGGAAGUCAGAAGUCCGAGCUGGGAAUGACGUCACACCCGAGUUCCCAGGGUUUCAGUUACCAAGUCGGAAGAAAGCAAAAUCUGAGGCAGAAACAAGAUGGCUACAUCUACGAAAGUUAUUUAAGCACUUGCCUUAUCCAAAUAUAAGCAAGGACAAGGCAAGCGCUAAAAUUACUUUCGUAGAUGUAGCCAUCUUGUUUACGCCUCCGAUUUUGCUUUCUUCUGACUUGGUACAGGCAACUUGGGUGUGACGUCAGACAUCUGACUUCUGAGGUAACUCGAAUGCAGCAUAAGAUUUUAGUCAUUCCUAGAGCGCCAGAGUUUGCAACUGUUGCUAUGGUUACACUCUCCAAUACUGAUGGCAGCACUGUAACCUGAAACAGUGUUGAAUGUUAGCUAGUGCUGUCAGCAUGCUAACAUAAGUUGUUUUGACAGUCAAUCCAAUUUGUUUUAUUACUUUUGAAUAUUGCCUGACUCUUCUGAUUGUUAACUCAGUUGCGAUUUAUCAUGUCACGUCAUUGUCUCUGUUUAGUGAUGACAAAUUUGUAUGUUAAUGACAGCAACUUUUUUAGUGACAAAAUCAGUAGUGAUGGUGUCAAAAUAUGACAGGACUACAAUGUGCAGAAACCUCACAGAUGUCACAUCUUACUCAAAAAUGAGAAUGCCCAGAACUGAGGAUUUACGGUGAAAUUUUCAACCAGCCCAACUUCCCCUUCUUGAUCUUCUCAGUAGCUUGGUCUGUUUUUCUCUGUCUUUGAGUUAGAAGAUCAUGUCAGAUGAAGUGAUAAAAGCAUUUUUGACGGCUGUUUCACCAUCUUUCAUGUCUGCUCAGAGCAGCCAGACUUGAAACAUCCUGGUCAGGAAAACAGAAAUCAUUUCAGAUCAUGUUUGACAACUCCUCAACGGCACUGGACACGUCUUCUCUUUCUUUUUCCCCUCUUCUUUUUCUGCUUUCCUCCCGUUUUUCUGUGAGUGAGUUUUCAAACAGCUAAGCCUGUGCCUCCCAUCACCGCUAUUUCACUCUCAUUACCUGAAUUACUGUCAUUUUCUGCUCUGUGCCACAACGCAGUGAUUGCAUGUAGGGCCGAGAGACAAAGCAGCAGGAGAGCUCAUCUCUGUGAUUCCACUGAUGGAUGCAUACGAACAUGUGAGUCUUAUUUACCGUGCUGCCUGUCUGUAUUUUGUUUUCAUCUUGUUUUUGAUCUGUGUAGCGUGAAAAAUUGCAGGCAUGGAAACAGGAAACAAUAUCAUUAUUAUAUUUAACGUGCAUCUGUAACCACAUAUUUUUUCUUUUAUCCAGACCUUCAUCAAAAACCUGUAGGACGGUCUAAACGUGCAUUAGAGUCGUCUUACAUGAGCAGUUUAAAACCUCACUGAAGUGAAAAUCUAAUCUUAGACGAAGACCAAGGAUCAGACAUUUUCACCACAACAUGUCAUCAUAGCUCAGAAGUGAAGAUCAGUGAGUGUUGACAGCUUUAGCCUUAGCACAUAUUCACUUUUAUGUAACCAUUAACUUUGAGCUAAACACUGCACACUUUACUGCUGUUUUAUUGAUGUGUUUUAAAGCCUUGCAGUUAUUUCUCCUUAUUUUGUGAACUGGAUUUUUAUCUAAAGAAAAAAGAACUCACAGUCCACUUAGCGACUUAAACAGUGUCAGUAUUUUUUCAAUCAAAAGCAAAACAUUAAUUUUUUUUUUUCUGAUGAGUCACAGUGAAUAUUUAGUGACACUAACUUUUGGUUAGGGUAACCCUUUCCACCACAGAAGACUUCAAGGGAGAAGACUUAUGGGGCGCUCACGCCAAGCGCGAAUAAAACGAUCUACCCGCUUAAUUUGCGUAAAUCUAGACGCGUGAAUAAAUAGCAUUUACCCGCUUCAUUCGCGCGUCAACAGUAAUUUCAACAGUAAUCCCUGCCAAUUCAACCAGAUCAAGUGAUACACAAAGGUCUUUUACAAUUUACCACGUAAUCCAACCUCCUCACUCACUUGCUUCCAGGUGAGCUCCUUUUUUAUUCCGGUUUCGGUGAUUGAAAGAAAUGUAUCUUUCAUUCAGGGCACCCACACGCUGGCACGAUCAGUUUGUCCUCCAUUUUAUAUCCCAGUGAGCAACCGUCUGUUUCCACACAUCACCUUGCAACCUUUGUGCUGAUUAGUUGACGCGAUGGGAAUAUCCGCCCAUAUUGAGAUUGGUGUGUGGAGACAGUCAGAAGGUGCUCUGGGGAUCAAAUGGAGUUGGAUAUUGUAUUCCUCCACUGGGGGACAACAGAGGAGAACAGUCUGAUAGGUGACUCAGAAUCUGUAAGUGCUAAAUAUAUUUUAAAGACAAUCUCCAAACUUCAUUAUGUUUCCAAAUUUUUUUUUCUACAGGAAGACCCUUUUCUUUUUUUGGCUUUUUAGCAUUCUUUUUUCAGUAAUAGUCGAUAGUGUAAGAAAAUGGGAUUCACCAACCAAACCUUAAAACAAACAUGUCAUUUUUUCAGAGACACUCUCCUCAUGUUUCAUCCCACUUCUUUAAGAUUUGUCACAGUUCAAAGCAUGCAGGUCAGGUUUGUUACUCUUGUGGUCUUCAAGUUGUGAUGUGUUGUGACAGGAGUGUGUGACAUGUUUGUGUCAAACAGGGCUUGAAACAUAAAACUGCAACUCAAGGGGAAGAAUUCACUUUUCACCACUCUUUCAAUUGUUCACUUUCUUCUCAUUUUUGCUUUUCCUUUUCUCUCCAUCUUCACUAAAUUUGACUUGAUCACGUUUAGCCCUCUCAUCAUUAGCCUCUUUAAUCCAGGAUUUCUAAACCCAGCAGGAAGAGCCCUCCUCCUCCUCAAUGUGCAAAGUUGUUGAAUUCAAUGGGGACUAAAAGCUGUAACAGUUUUAAUGUGAUAAUGAGCAGAACAGUCAAAAUACCUACUAAUCACCAUGGGGACUAUCGCUUUAGCCAAUCUUGGAGCACCUGUGUUCCUCAGACUGGACUAACACACACACAGAGAGAGAGAGAGAGAGAGGGAGAGAAAUGAAUAACUAAAUUGUUUAGUUUAGUGUUUUGAGUCAAAACCUGGCAUAUUCAUUUUCAGAAAGUAACUAGCUUUUAGCUUUCCUACAAACUGGAAAACAAACUUCCCAUCGUUGAUGUCAGAUUUGCUUUUUUUCCGAUCAUCAACCCGAUUUGUUGUCCAGCCAGUCAGCGCUGAUUCCCAAAUGGUUAUUUUGUGCUUGCACGUCCAUCUUUGAUUACAAAAUGUUUGUGCGAAAAGAAAUUUAAAAAUUACAGAUUAUCACAAAAAUAUUUUUAUACUUCCACGAAACAGAAAAUCCAGUUUCCUUUGAACUCCAGUGGGGGUUUUAGAGUAGGGUGACCAUAUUCUGACUUCCCAAAAAGAGGACAUGACUACGCGCGGGCAGAGUCAUGGAGUUGCACAAAGUUAAUUUUAAGAGUUUUUCGGAUCAAGUGACUUUUGCGCGUUUCUAACUCAGUAAGUCCACGUGACACAAAAUCAAAACUUACGUACAAAACCGCAGACAUUUGAGGGAUCUUAUACUCUUCCCCAGACAAAGCUGGACAAACCCGUACAGCCCCCCAAAAAAGAAGACAUGUCUGGGUAAAAGAGGACCCUACUUUAGAGGGAGUUUACGCACGGUCUGAAAACAAAGCAUGGACCCACUAAUAGGAGAGAGGGAGUUUGUUUGGCUGGUUGAACUUUUUUAAUCUUGUAGUGUACUUCUCUAGAGAGGUUCAGAGACAG
Molecule: long non-coding RNA, 13080 nt
Filed under: Xyrichtys novacula (pearly razorfish)
Lineage: Eukaryota; Metazoa; Chordata; Actinopteri; Labriformes; Labridae
Source: RNAcentral